CCCUAAAUCUGUGAGUGCUGCGUUUUCAGUCCUUGUGGAAGUGGCACUAAGAAAGGUUUAAGGAACUAAACAUAGCUGAGUUCCUGUCCAAAUAGCACAACUUUUCUGUCUACUUUGCCCAUUUAGAUAUCUUAAGUUUUCUCUUUCUCCCUGUCAAUUUAUUUACCAUUUUUCCCCUGUUUUAUUCCUGUAAGAAAGGUGGCAAGUACUGAAGUGUUAAGGAUAGAUUUUACUGUACUGCCUUAACUGCUCAGCAGCUCACCCUUUUCCCUCCUACUCUACUUAUCCUAUAUUUUCUCUCAUGCAUUUUGCAUUUCUUGGUUCAAAUAGAUAAUUAGUUUAUUUUAUUUGCUUUUUGACAUGGUUACUCAUAUUGUUGCUUUAGUUUUGGUUUCCAGUUGGAUAAUAUUUUGUUUUGCUUUAUGAGUUCUGAUCUUACACUAAAAUUGUAAUUUGACAGUACUACUGCUUUUUAUAUGGAUUUAUGGAAUAAUAUCCCCACGUUUGACAUGGAUAUGCAGAUCAUGAUGAUGAUCACCACGCCCAUGAUCAUGUUCAUGAUCCUGGUGUUUCUUCUGUCAGCAUGGUUUGUGAAGGGAGCUUAGAUCUUGAAAGGGUUGGAUCUUUGUUUCGUCUUAUUUUGCAAUAUAUAUGAUAAUUGCCUCCUUUGUCUUUUAGUUUACCUAAUUGCCUUUGAAUGACACAAGUACACAUUUGAUGGCCAGUUGCAUUUAGUGUCUUUGUCUGGACUGUAUGAAAGAAAACCUGGCAAAGACUACUGAUUUCGUCUUAAUUUAAUUCAGGCUAACAUAUGGCUUGGUAUGCUGUUGUUGGAAUGAAGCGAGGACAUAUAUCGCAUGAAAGGUCUACUAUCUGUUCAAGGAAUGAAUGAGAGAUUUGUCUUCCAGGGAGUCCAUGAUAUAUUCCAAGGCUCACCCGAUCGGCUGUGGGGCCCCAACGAGCCAAGAACAAACAAGAUAGUUUUCAUAGGGAAGAACUUGGAUGCACAAGAGUUGGAAAAGGGUUUUAAAGGCUGUUUACUGUGAUUUCAAACGAGGCUCGGUGCUUUCAUUCCCCUCUCUUUUGUCCCCUAUUAAAAGAUUGAACAAGGGAUGAUUGAACAUUAUGUACAUGUGGUGUCGAUGGAAACAGUGAACAAGUCACGAUAGAGAGAAUCAAUCGAGGGUUUUAUAUGAUAAUAAAUGCUAGUUUCCACUUUAUUAACCCGAAAAUUGAUUUCGGCGGGUGGUUCUAGCUUUCGUAACCAUGUUCAUACCUCUCUUUCCAUAUAACUGUUUUCAAGGUUCUUGUAGAUGAUCCGCAGUAUAUUUGAACUGUUCAAAUUCACUUUGU
This is a long non-coding RNA of Pyrus x bretschneideri (Chinese white pear), 1353 nucleotides long. RefSeq lists it as uncharacterized. The transcript is spliced from 2 exons. The record is from RefSeq and is a predicted model, not a curated record. NCBI's taxonomy places the organism in Eukaryota, Viridiplantae, Streptophyta, Magnoliopsida, Rosales, Rosaceae.